RNAcentral lists this ribosomal RNA (762 nucleotides) under Microbacterium sp. DJWH22. Its description in RNAcentral is "bacterial SSU rRNA". It matches the Rfam family "Bacterial small subunit ribosomal RNA", at positions 400 to 1173 of the family's 1533-position model. Lineage: Bacteria; Bacillati; Actinomycetota; Actinomycetes; Micrococcales; Microbacteriaceae. The record is from RNAcentral.
CGUGAGGGAUGACGGCCUUCGGGUUGUAAACCUCUUUUAGCAGGGAAGAAGCGAAAGUGACGGUACCUGCAGAAAAAGCGCCGGCUAACUACGUGCCAGCAGCCGCGGUAAUACGUAGGGCGCAAGCGUUAUCCGGAAUUAUUGGGCGUAAAGAGCUCGUAGGCGGUUUGUCGCGUCUGCUGUGAAAUCCGGAGGCUCAACCUCCGGCCUGCAGUGGGUACGGGCAGACUAGAGUGCGGUAGGGGAGAUUGGAAUUCCUGGUGUAGCGGUGGAAUGCGCAGAUAUCAGGAGGAACACCGAUGGCGAAGGCAGAUCUCUGGGCCGUAACUGACGCUGAGGAGCGAAAGGGUGGGGAGCAAACAGGCUUAGAUACCCUGGUAGUCCACCCCGUAAACGUUGGGAACUAGUUGUGGGGUCCAUUCCACGGAUUCCGUGACGCAGCUAACGCAUUAAGUUCCCCGCCUGGGGAGUACGGCCGCAAGGCUAAAACUCAAAGGAAUUGACGGGGACCCGCACAAGCGGCGGAGCAUGCGGAUUAAUUCGAUGCAACGCGAAGAACCUUACCAAGGCUUGACAUAUACGAGAACGGGCCAGAAAUGGUCAACUCUUUGGACACUCGUAAACAGGUGGUGCAUGGUUGUCGUCAGCUCGUGUCGUGAGAUGUUGGGUUAAGUCCCGCAACGAGCGCAACCCUCGUUCUAUGUUGCCAGCACGUAAUGGUGGGAACUCAUGGGAUACUGCCGGGGUCAACUCGGAGGAAGG